AAGCUUAGGCUAAACA
RNAcentral lists this transfer RNA (16 nucleotides) under Amolops daorum. Its description in RNAcentral is "partial tRNA-Trp". Lineage: Eukaryota; Metazoa; Chordata; Amphibia; Anura; Ranidae. The record is from RNAcentral. RNAcentral also lists the same sequence under 1 other name.